Molecule: ribosomal RNA, 373 nt
Filed under: uncultured eukaryote
Lineage: Eukaryota
Description: partial 18S ribosomal RNA
Rfam family: Eukaryotic small subunit ribosomal RNA
Source: RNAcentral
CAAUAGCGUAUAUUAAAGUUGUUGCAGUUAAAAAGCUCGUAGUUGAAUUUUUGCUUGCCGCCGAUGUCGGAACUUCCGUACGUUCGGCGGCGUGCAUCCUUGGGUGGAACCUGUGUGGCAUUAGGUUGUCGUGCAGGGGAUGCUCAUCGUUUACUGUGAAAAAAUUAGAGUGUUCAAAGCAGGCUUAUGCCGUUGAAUAUAUUGGCAUGGAAUAAUAAGAUAGGACCUUGGUACUAUUUUGUUGGUUUGCGCACCGAGGUAAUGAUUAACAGGGACAGUUGGGGGUAUUCGUAUUCCAUUGUCAGAGGUGAAAUUCUUGGAUUUCUGGAAGACGAACUACUGCGAAAGCAUUUACCAAGGAUGUUUUCAUUAA